RNAcentral lists this ribosomal RNA (792 nucleotides) under uncultured bacterium. RNAcentral's name for it is "bacterial SSU rRNA". It matches the Rfam family "Bacterial small subunit ribosomal RNA", at positions 559 to 1349 of the family's 1533-position model. The record is from RNAcentral.
CGUAAAGAGCUCGUAGGUGGUUUGUCGCGUUGUUCGUGAAAUCUCACGGCUUAACUGUGAGCGUGCGGGCGAUACGGGCAGACUUGAGUACUGCAGGGGAGACUGGAAUUCCUGGUGUAGCGGUGGAAUGCGCAGAUAUCAGGAGGAACACCGGUGGCGAAGGCGGGUCUCUGGGCAGUAACUGACGCUGAGGAGCGAAAGCGUGGGGAGCGAACAGGAUUAGAUACCCUGGUAGUCCACGCCGUAAACGGUGGGUACUAGGUGUGGGUUUCCUUCCUUGGGAUCCGUGCCGUAGCUAACGCAUUAAGUACCCCGCCUGGGGAGUACGGCCGCAAGGCUAAAACUCAAAGAAAUUGACGGGGGCCCGCACAAGCGGCGGAGCAUGUGGAUUAAUUCGAUGCAACGCGAAGAACCUUACCUGGGUUUGACAUGCACAGGACGCCGGCAGAGAUGUCGGUUCCCUUGUGGCCUGUGUGCAGGUGGUGCAUGGCUGUCGUCAGCUCGUGUCGUGAGAUGUUGGGUUAAGUCCCGCAACGAGCGCAACCCUUGUCUCAUGUUGCCAGCGGGUAAUGCCGGGGACUCGUGAGAGACUGCCGGGGUCAACUCGGAGGAAGGUGGGGAUGACGUCAAGUCAUCAUGCCCCUUAUGUCCAGGGCUUCACACAUGCUACAAUGGCCGGUACGAAGGGCUGCGAUGCCGCGAGGUUAAGCGAAUCCUUUUAAAGCCGGUCUCAGUUCGGAUCGGGGUCUGCAACUCGACCCCGUGAAGUCGGAGUCGCUAGUAAUCGCAGAU